GACGAACGCUGGCGGCGUGCUUAACACAUGCAAGUCGAACGAAGUGGCGAACGGGUGAGUAACGCGUAAUCAACCUGCCCUUCAGAGGGGGACAACAGUUGGAAACGACUGCUAAUACCGCAUACUGAAGGAGGGGAUUGCGUCUGAUUAGCUAGUUGGAGGGGGAACGGACCACCAAGGGGAUGAUCAGUAGCCGGUCUGUGAGGAUGAACGGCUAAACUGAGACGUAUACACGUCCCAGACGACUACGGGGGGCAGCAGGGGGGAAGUUUCGGCAAUGGACGAAAGUCUGACCGAGCAACGCCGCGUGAGUGAAGAAGGUUGUCGGGUCGUAAAGCUCUGUUGUUAAGGAAGCGGUACUUAACCAGAAAGGGACGGCUAACUACGUGCCAGCAGCCGCGGUAAUAC
RNAcentral lists this ribosomal RNA (408 nucleotides) under uncultured bacterium. RNAcentral's name for it is "partial 16S ribosomal RNA". It matches the Rfam family "Bacterial small subunit ribosomal RNA", at positions 28 to 526 of the family's 1533-position model. The record is from RNAcentral.